RNAcentral lists this ribosomal RNA (292 nucleotides) under uncultured bacterium. RNAcentral's name for it is "partial 16S ribosomal RNA". It matches the Rfam family "Bacterial small subunit ribosomal RNA", at positions 505 to 796 of the family's 1533-position model. The record is from RNAcentral.
GUGCCAGCAGCCGCGGUAAUACAGAGGUCUCAAGCGUUGUUCGGAUUCAUUGGGCGUAAAGGGUGCGUAGGUGGCGCCAUAAGUCAGGUGUGAAAUCUCGGGGCUUAACUCCGAAACUGCAUUUGAUACUGUGGUGCUUGAGGACUGGAGAGGAGACUGGAAUUCACGGUGUAGCAGUGAAAUGCGUAGAUAUCGUGAGGAAGACCAGUGGCGAAGGCGGGUCUCUGGACAGUUCCUGACACUGAGGCACGAAGGCCAGGGGAGCAAACGGGAUUAGAAACCCUAGUAGUCC